Molecule: ribosomal RNA, 301 nt
Filed under: uncultured bacterium
Lineage: Bacteria
Description: partial 16S ribosomal RNA
Rfam family: Bacterial small subunit ribosomal RNA
Source: RNAcentral
CAGUAGCCGCGGUAAUACGUAGGUCCCGAGCGUUGUCCGGAUUUAUUGGGCGUAAAGCGAGCGCAGGCGGUUAGAUAAGUCUGAAGUUAAAGGCUGUGGCUUAACCAUAGUACGCUUUGGAAACUGUUUAACUUGAGUGCAAGAGGGGAGAGUGGAAUUCCAUGUGUAGCGGUGAAAUGCGUAGAUAUAUGAAGGAACACCGGUGGCGAAAGCGGCUCUCUGGCUUGUAACUGACGCUGAGGCUCGAAAGCGUGGGGAGCAAACAGGAUUAGAUACCCCCGUAGUCCUGUCUCUUAUACAC